This 778-nucleotide ribosomal RNA is filed under the name uncultured Mycobacterium sp. RNAcentral's name for it is "bacterial SSU rRNA". It matches the Rfam family "Bacterial small subunit ribosomal RNA", at positions 571 to 1347 of the family's 1533-position model. The record is from RNAcentral. Lineage: Bacteria; Bacillati; Actinomycetota; Actinomycetes; Mycobacteriales; Mycobacteriaceae.
GUAGGUGGUUUGUCGCGUUGUUCGUGAAAUCUCACGGCUUAACUGUGAGCGUGCGGGCGAUACGGGCAGACUAGAGUACUGCAGGGGAGACUGGAAUUCCUGGUGUAGCGGUGGAAUGCGCAGAUAUCAGGAGGAACACCGGUGGCGAAGGCGGGUCUCUGGGCAGUAACUGACGCUGAGGAGCGAAAGCGUGGGGAGCGAACAGGAUUAGAUACCCUGGUAGUCCACGCCGUAAACGGUGGGUACUAGGUGUGGGUUUCCUUCCUUGGGAUCCGUGCCGUAGCUAACGCAUUAAGUACCCCGCCUGGGGAGUACGGCCGCAAGGCUAAAACCCAAAGGAAUUGACGGGGGCCCGCACAAGCGGCGGAGCAUGUGGAUUAAUUCGAUGCAACGCGAAGAACCUUACCUGGGUUUGACAUGCACAGGACGCGUCUAGAGAUAGGCGUUCCCUUGUGGCCUGUGUGCAGGUGGUGCAUGGCUGUCGUCAGCUCGUGUCGUGAGAUGUUGGGUUAAGUCCCGCAACGAGCGCAACCCUUGUCUCAUGUUGCCAGCGGGUAAUGCCGGGGACUCGUGAGAGACUGCCGGGGUCAACUCGGAGGAAGGUGGGGAUGACGUCAAGUCAUCAUGCCCCUUAUGUCCAGGGCUUCACACAUGCUACAAUGGCCGGUACAAAGGGCUGCGAUGCCGUAAGGUUAAGCGAAUCCUUUUAAAGCCGGUCUCAGUUCGGAUUGGGGUCUGCAACUCGACCCCAUGAAGUCGGAGUCGCUAGUAAUCGCAG